UUUUAGAGAAUAAGAUUUCCAGAUGAAAACCAGGGAGCAUGUUCCAAUUUUUAAUACAUCAAGGAAGAUGUUCUUCCUUGCUACCAGCCCCAUUUUCUAAUCAGUUAACGCUUCCUGUGAUAUCUGUAGGGGAAAGGUGUAGUGCAAUUGACAGGGAGAGAUGAGAUCUUAAGCCUCUGCUCAUUUAUUGGGUGCUGAGUAGCAAUGCCUCCCGCAGGCCACAGGAACUUAUCUCCGCCGAUCUGUUACAGCUGGAAGGAUGGGGAGAUAGCACCAUAGAUCCACUCCUCAUUUUAUGGGCAAAGAAGCUAAGGCCUGUAAAAAUGGCAUGCCCAAAUGGUUACGAGGAAAUCCUUCAAAAUGCGUUCUUGUGAAAAACGUGACAACGGAAGGAAGGAGGGAGGGAUAGGAAGAAGGAAAGAGAAGCAAAAGUUCCCUGUUUCUCACGGCCCUGAAACCAGCCGACAGGGAUUUGCAUUUUGAAAAACCUUGCGUGGCUGCCGGCGCUGGGCAUGCUCAAACGCCCAGAACUGGCUUUUUUCGGCAACUUUGGCAGCUCUCCCACCCCCACCCGAAGGGGCAGGUACGCA
Molecule: long non-coding RNA, 590 nt
Organism: Gorilla gorilla gorilla (western lowland gorilla)
Lineage: Eukaryota; Metazoa; Chordata; Mammalia; Primates; Hominidae
Exons: 3
Source: RefSeq, a predicted model, not a curated record